AACGAACGCUGGCGGCAUGCCUAACACAUGCAAGUCGAACGAGACCUUCGGGUCUAGUGGCGCACGGGUGCGUAACGCGUGGGAACCUGCCCUUAGGUUCGGAAUAACUCCCCGAAAGGGGUGCUAAUACCGGAUAAUGUCUUCGGACCAAAGAUUUAUCGCCUUUGGAUGGGCCCGCGUUGGAUUAGCUAGUUGGUAGGGUAAAAGCCUACCAAGGCGCCGAUCCAUAGCUGGUCUGAGAGGAUGCUCAGCCACACUGGGACUGAGACACGGCCCAGACUCCUACGGGAGGCAGCAGUGGGGAAUAUUGGACAAUGGGCGAAAGCCUGAUCCAGCAAUGCCGCGUGAGUGAUGAAGGCCUUAGGGUUGUAAAGCUCUUUUACCCGGGAUGAUAAUGACAGUACCGGGAGAAUAAGCUCCGGCUAACUCCGUG
This 433-nucleotide ribosomal RNA is filed under the name uncultured bacterium. Its description in RNAcentral is "partial 16S ribosomal RNA". It matches the Rfam family "Bacterial small subunit ribosomal RNA", at positions 29 to 507 of the family's 1533-position model. The record is from RNAcentral.